This 240-nucleotide ribosomal RNA is filed under the name Clostridioides difficile. Its description in RNAcentral is "partial 16S ribosomal RNA". It matches the Rfam family "Bacterial small subunit ribosomal RNA", at positions 515 to 756 of the family's 1533-position model. The record is from RNAcentral. Lineage: Bacteria; Bacillati; Bacillota; Clostridia; Peptostreptococcales; Peptostreptococcaceae.
CCGCGGUAAUACGUAGGGGGCUAGCGUUAUCCGGAUUUACUGGGCGUAAAGGGUGCGUAGGCGGUCUUUCAAGUCAGGAGUGAAAGGCUACGGCUCAACCGUAGUAAGCUCUUGAAACUGGGAGACUUGAGUGCAGGAGAGGAGAGUGGAAUUCCUAGUGUAGCGGUGAAAUGCGUAGAUAUUAGGAGGAACACCAGUUGCGAAGGCGGCUCUCUGGACUGUAACUGCGCUGAGGCACGA